GACGAACGCUGGCGGCGUGCUUAACACAUGCCAGUCGAACGGAAAGGCCCUGCUUUUGUGGGGUGCUCGAGUGGCGAACGGGUGAGUAACACGUGAGUAACCUGCCCUUGACUUUGGGAUAACUUCAGGAAACUGGGGCUAAUACCGGAUAGGAGCUCCUGCUGCAUGGUGGGGGUUGGAAAGUUUCGGCGGUUGGGGAUGGACUCGCGGCUUAUCAGCUUGUUGGUGGGGUAGUGGCUUACCAAGGCUUUGACGGGUAGCCGGCCUGAGAGGGUGACCGGCCACAUUGGGACUGAGAUACGGCCCAGACUCCUACGGGAGGCAGCAGUGGGGAAUAUUGCACAAUGGGCGGAAGCAUGAUGCAGCAACGCCGCGUGCGGGAUGACGGCCUUCGGGUUGUAAACCGCUUUCGCCUGUGACGAAGCGUGAGUGACGGUAAUGGGGAAAGAAGCACCGGCUAACUACGU
This 467-nucleotide ribosomal RNA is filed under the name uncultured bacterium. RNAcentral describes it as "partial 16S ribosomal RNA". It matches the Rfam family "Bacterial small subunit ribosomal RNA", at positions 28 to 506 of the family's 1533-position model. The record is from RNAcentral.